AUUAUAAAAUAAUAAUUGUAGGUUAGAGUGUUGAAUUUUAUUAAAAGAAAUUAUUGUAGUGUUUAAAAAUUAUGUUGGAAGAAAGAGAAGAUGAUGUGGAAUAAAGAGAAGAUGAUGUGGAGUGUUAAAAAGUGAAAAAGAAGGAUGUUGAAUAAAUUUGCCAUUGCAAAUAGCCUUAGUUAAAAUAAAGUUGAUAUAUCUAAAAAAAGCAAAACACUUUUCUAAACCAAACAAUCUUCUAUUCAAUCGCGUUAGUUACACUCUAACUUAGUUAUAAUAAACGAAAACAAAACAGCAUAUGAGUUUUAAGAGCAUUUAUGCUCUGUUUUGGGCUGUAAUAACUUUAUUUUCCCUUUUUAUCAGUAUUUUUACACUUGAUUUUUUCAUAAUGAAAUAUUAGACUGCAAAAAAAAAAA
RNAcentral lists this small RNA (416 nucleotides) under Arabidopsis thaliana (thale cress). Its description in RNAcentral is "ATSL218600". The record is from RNAcentral. Lineage: Eukaryota; Viridiplantae; Streptophyta; Magnoliopsida; Brassicales; Brassicaceae.